AGGACGAACGCUGGCGGCGUGCCUAACACAUGCAAGUCGAACGAGUCCAGACUUCGGUCUGAGGCGAGUGGCGGACGGGUGAGUAACACGUGAACAACCUAUCUCUGUGCGGGGGACAACCCGGGGAAACUCGGGCUAAUACCGCAUGGUCGGGC
Molecule: ribosomal RNA, 155 nt
Filed under: uncultured soil bacterium
Lineage: Bacteria
Description: partial 16S ribosomal RNA
Rfam family: Bacterial small subunit ribosomal RNA
Source: RNAcentral